GUGUGGUGAGUGUGAUGUCAAUUGCUGUAGGUGUCUGUAGAUGGGAGAUGGGAUAGCGGGUAGGUUGAUUGUCGUUAAGAGAAUUGAGGUUUUGUGUGCUUAGCCAGUCGGCUAGGCGGGUGCCGUUUAAAUCAGUGUGGGGUCUUGUGCCCCACAGUGGAUGGUGU
Long non-coding RNA from Haliotis rubra (blacklip abalone), 167 nucleotides. RefSeq lists it as uncharacterized. The record is from RefSeq and is a predicted model, not a curated record. NCBI's taxonomy places the organism in Eukaryota, Metazoa, Mollusca, Gastropoda, Lepetellida, Haliotidae. The transcript has 3 exons.